Molecule: ribosomal RNA, 403 nt
Filed under: uncultured bacterium
Lineage: Bacteria
Description: bacterial SSU rRNA
Rfam family: Bacterial small subunit ribosomal RNA
Source: RNAcentral
GGGGAAUAUUGGACAAUGGGGGCAACCCUGAUCCAGCAAUGCCGCGUGAGUGAUGAAGGCCUUAGGGUUGUAAAGCUCUUUUGGCGGGGACGAUGAUGACGGUACCCGCAGAAUAAGCCCCGGCUAACUUCGUGCCAGCAGCCGCGGUAAUACGAAGGGGGCAAGCGUUGUUCGGAAUUACUGGGCGUAAAGGGCGCGUAGGCGGCUUAUCAAGUCAGGCGUGAAAUUCCCGGGCUCAACCUGGGGGCUGCGCUUGAUACUGGUUGGCUUGAAUACGGGAGAGGAUAGUGGAAUUCCCAGUGUAGAGGUGAAAUUCGUAGAUAUUGGGAAGAACACCAGUGGCGAAGGCGGCUAUCUGGCCCGUUAUUGACGCUGAGGCGCGAAAGCGUGGGGAGCGAAACAG